AAAAAAAAAAAAACAGAAGUAGUGACGUUAGAGGAUGGAAAAUAAGUUUGAAAAAUAUUCAUGGACACAAAUCAGUUAAACAAUCACCGCUGCUACAAUAAUACACCCUUUACAGGAGGGAUUUCACCCCAACAACUUGAAUCUGAUCCAACUUUGAACUAUCAUGCUAAGUUGUCAAGGUGAAAAUGUCCUACUCUAUCUUAUUUUACAGACACUACAGAAGUUCUGUUUUUAAUCUAAUCCUGCCAUCCUCAAUGCAUGAUACAUUUCAUUCUUUACAGAAAUUCCAGCUUCAGUAAACCUUUUCUGCUACAAAACAAAAACAAAUUUCCUUUCCUCCUCGCCUACAAAGAUAGCAAAAGGUUCUUGAUGCUCACCUUAGGCUACAAGAAUCAACACAAGUGUUUUCAAAUGCGAACUACCUUCAUUGCGACAGAGAUGCUUGUCAUGCAUGUCUGGAGGCAUUAUCGUGCAACUGUGCUGUUCUCACAUUGGGGUCAUCCUGCCGGAUGCCAUAACUGAAACCAGUUGGUGUACGGAAGAAAUCCAUCUGUCCCAUCCCAUGCAUGCUUUGUUGGGCAUUGUAGUAACCAUCAUGACUUGGUGCUAUUGAGUUCAACUGUCCCAGCCCCUGUAUAGUCUGUUGAUUCCCAUAGAAAUUAUCCCGUGGCGCCAUUAAGUUCAGUUGCACCUGCAGAGACACAAAACUCCAAAUAAAGACAAAAUCACUUGACUCCAUUGUUAAUAGGCUUAUAACCUAAAUUCACAGCACAUCAUACCAUCCCUGGCACACUUGGUUGUGCUCCAUAAUAGCCGUCUAAGGUUACUGCUCUUGAUCUUAAUUUGUCCUACAAAAUAAAUCACACUAGUAAAAAGACACCAUCUAGUUAAAUUAGAAUUGUUAAAGAAUUCCUUUAACACAAAAAUAAUUAAAUCAAACCAUCCUGCAUUAGUAAGAAUGCAUAAGACCAAUCGCAAUAUAAAAAUCAUGGUUCAAUAACAACAAAAUAUAUAAAUUAGACAAACCAUUUGUUGCAAGCUGUCUUCUGCCCCAACAGUAGUAACCUCCUGCUCAGAGUUCACCUUUCUUUUCUUAGUUGGAUUCUUUUUCUUAUUUGUCUUGUUCAUACUUCUGCUUUGAUUAUCUUCCUCGAUGCAGAGCAAACCAUGAGUAGCUGAGGUACCAGCUUCUGCAAGAGUCUUGCUAGAAUUAUUAGCACUGAUACAGUUUCCAAAGGCUUCUUCAAGAGCACGAAAUGCAAUAUUGUAACUCUCUUGAGACAAUGAUCCCUCUUCACUCAAUUUUAGUGCCCGUUGGCAUAAGUCAUUGUACCUUUGCACCCUUGAUUGUACCUGUUCAGAUUCUUCCCCCAAAAAAUGUCUGCUCUUCACAUCUUUUGUCCAACGUUUCAAAAUGUACUGGGAUGGAAUUGCAGACUGUUGACACAUCUGAAGAACAACCAGAGAAUGUCUACAGAGAUAACCCUUGUACUCGUAUAGUCGGCAUAUGCAAGCCACUUCUGACCUUAUCUGAUUCCACACAACAGUAAAAUCCUGGUGCUUUUCCAAAUCUUGAACUCUAAAACUAACACUUGUCUCAUCUUGGCUUUCCAUUUUAGGGUGGCAAGCAGUUACACCCAAGACCUCAACUUGAAAUUUCUUGAAU
Molecule: unclassified non-coding RNA, 1666 nt
Filed under: Hevea brasiliensis (rubber tree)
Lineage: Eukaryota; Viridiplantae; Streptophyta; Magnoliopsida; Malpighiales; Euphorbiaceae
Source: RNAcentral